CAGAACAUAGCUCAACAUAGAAGAGCAUCUCCCUUACACUGAGAAGUUAUCCGUGCAAAUCGGAUUGUCCUGA
This 73-nucleotide transfer RNA is filed under the name Diapterus auratus (Irish mojarra). Its description in RNAcentral is "tRNA-Val". It matches the Rfam family "tRNA". Rfam says of the family: Transfer RNA (tRNA) molecules are approximately 80 nucleotides in length. Lineage: Eukaryota; Metazoa; Chordata; Actinopteri; Gerreiformes; Gerreidae. RNAcentral also lists the same sequence under 1 other name. The record is from RNAcentral.